AUUGAACGCUGGCGGCAGGCCUAACACAUGCAAGUCGAACGGUAACAGAAAGCAGCUUGCUGCUUUGCUGACGAGUGGCGGACGGGUGAGUAAUGUCUGGGAAACUGCCUGAUGGAGGGGGAUAACUACUGGAAACGGUAGCUAAUACCGCAUAACGUCGCAAGACCAAAGAGGGGGACCUUCGGGCCUCUUGCCAUCGGAUGUGCCCAGAUGGGAUUAGCUAGUAGGUGGGGUAAAGGCUCACCUAGGCGACGAUCCCUAGCUGGUCUGAGAGGAUAACCAGCCACACUGGAACUGAGACACGGUCCAGACUCCUACGGGAGGCAGCAGUGGGGAAUAUUGCACAAUGGGCGCAAGCCUGAUGCAGCCAUGCCGCGUGUAUGAAGAAGGCCUUCGGGUUGUAAAGUACUUUCAGCGGGGAGGAAGGGAGUAAAGUUAAUACCUUUGCUCAUUGACGUUACCCGCAGAAGAAGCACCGGCUAACUCCGUG
RNAcentral lists this ribosomal RNA (490 nucleotides) under uncultured bacterium. Its description in RNAcentral is "partial 16S ribosomal RNA". It matches the Rfam family "Bacterial small subunit ribosomal RNA", at positions 30 to 507 of the family's 1533-position model. The record is from RNAcentral.